Long non-coding RNA from Empidonax traillii (willow flycatcher), 744 nucleotides. RefSeq lists it as uncharacterized. The record is from RefSeq and is a predicted model, not a curated record. The transcript is spliced from 2 exons. NCBI's taxonomy places the organism in Eukaryota, Metazoa, Chordata, Aves, Passeriformes, Tyrannidae.
ACGCGCUGGCGGCUGUGGGCGCACACGGGGCCGUCCGUGGUGCCCGCCUUGCCCGUGCCUCUUUGCACACACGGGCACACGCGUGGCACUUACACGCCCGCACUCAGCGCUCCCACACAACUGCGGAGCUCGCCCGCACACAGCUCUCCACCCGCACGGUCAACAUGGGCGGCUCUCGCUCGGCCCUGCACGCAGCUUUCGAGGCCUCCUUCGUGGGAGAGAGGAGUUUACCCCCCUGCCAGGGCUGGGCCGUUUGCCCUUCCACGUAUUUCCCUCUCCCGGGCAUGAGACCUCAUUCCUCCCCUGGCCCUGUGCUGGCGCUGCCUGCAGGAGCGCUGAGCUCUCCCACCUUCCUGGGUGCGCUGGCAGAAAUUAGAUUGUUUCUAGAAAGCGACCUGCUUGGAAGUUGCUAUACAAAAUUAUGAUCCUCUGCUUUCUUCUGAAUUACACAGCAUCAGUACACAAAUCUCCAACAACAUUUGCAGAUAUGGGGGACUUAAACCACAUACCGUAUUGCUGAGGUACACUGAGAUAAUAUUUGUCCAAAAGACAGAAAAAUGGAAGUAGUUCAGUAUGAAAUCACUGAGGGAAUCUGAUGCAGGCAGAGCAAAGACUACAUUUCCUUGGGCUUCUCAGCUCAUUAUUCUCUAUUUAAUGCCAUAGGCCAGAUGCUUUGUUCCACCUUUUGCCUCAAUGUAUUAUGUAAUGGGCAAGAUAAAUAAAGAAAAAGCUCCUGCAGGUGAA